GACGAACGCUGGCGGCGUGCUUAACACAUGCAAGUCGAACGGAAAGGCCCUGCUUUUGUGGGGUGCUCGAGUGGCGAACGGGUGAGUAACACGUGAGUAACCUGCCCUUGACUUUGGGAUAACUUCAGGAAACUGGGGCUAAUACCGGAUAGGAGCUCCUGCUGCAUGGUGGGGGUUGGACAGUUUCGGCGGUUGGGGAUGGACUCGCGGCUUAUCAGCUUGUUGGUGGGGUAGUGGCUUACCAAGGCUUUGCCGGGUAGCCGGCCUGAGCGGGGGACCGGCGACAUUGGGACGGGGGUGCGGCCCAGACGCCUACGGGAGGAAGCAGUGGGGAGUAUUGCACAAUGGGCGGAAGCCUGAUGCAGCAACGCCGCGGGCGGGAUGACGGGCUUCGGGUUGUAAACCGCUUUCGCCUGUGAGGAAGCGUGAGUGACGGUAAUGGGUAAAGAAGCACCGGCUAACUACGUG
This 468-nucleotide ribosomal RNA is filed under the name uncultured bacterium. Its description in RNAcentral is "partial 16S ribosomal RNA". It matches the Rfam family "Bacterial small subunit ribosomal RNA", at positions 28 to 507 of the family's 1533-position model. The record is from RNAcentral.